GCCCUUUUUGGAUACAUAUACCGGUAUAUCAUGUCCGAUACAAUAGGAGGAGGCCAUUUUUUAAUUUGGGUAAUACAAAUGAUUUUACCCAAACCACAUUACAUGCCCUCUUAUUGGGCCGAAUACAUAAAUCUUGCAGUUUCAAGGUUUUUGCUUACAUUUUCAUACAUAACAAUAAGCAAUUGCUAAGAAGCAAAAGCUUCUACUUUUAAACAGGUCUGGGAGAACACUCGGAACCAACUUCUCCUCCAUGCUUAGAUCAACAUGAAGCUCAUUACACUGACCUGACAGUGGCUGGUACUCUGAAGGAAUUAAUCCCUGGAUUUCUCUGGAAUGCUGAUUAUCCUUAGUUGUUGUUGUCGUGUCGCUACACUUGUCCUAUCCACUGCAUAAUGUCACAGGCUUUGGCAACACGGGUUGAAAUCCUUGAGAUCCUCUAGUUUGCAGGGCUGUGGUAGGAGGGGGCAGUUUAGGAGGUGCUUCAUAGUUGGGGUGCCUCCCCGCAGUCAUUGUUGUCCAUCGGGUACCUGUAAAACAUCCUUUCAAAAUGUAUUCUUUGCUGACUGUAUUUUCUGACAGUUACGGUCGGAAUCUUUGGGACAGUCUUUGGCGCCAGUCAGUUAGUAAUCCUAACAGUGCAUGGCGAAGGUCCUUGUUCCUCAGGUAGUAAAUAAUUACAUUCAUCCAGCCAUUGGACAACAGCAUGGCUUCUGUUAACAUUAGGGCCAAGUAGCUUUCAUAAGGCUCCCAUUGGUUUUGUGAAGCCAUUGCCAACCUUAUCAGUUUAGGAAUACAGGUGAUGAUUACAGUCCCUGUUAUGAUGAUGAUGGUGGUGGUUUAUCUGGUGUUUAUUCUCUGUGCACCUUGACCAUUGCCUGCUUGGUUUUCAGCAGCAAUGCGUCGGGCUUGAUUGCGAGCUAUCAGGGCGAUGCGUCCAUACAGGAUGAAUAUGGUCAGUAGCCCAAGCCCUGCCAAUACAAGAAUUAGAUAUACUCUCCAGUCAUAUGUCUCUGAUGCACAUGUUCUCUUGUUAUGACCAGUAACCUGUACAGUAUAGUAAGGAUUUAUCCCAUUUAGCAGAAUGGAGGAUAUGAUGAUUGUAGCCCAUGCGCUGCAUACAAUUAUCUUAGCUUUUAAAACGGUCAUUAUUGAGGGGUACCGCAGAGGAUGGGAAAUAGCAAUGUAACGAUCCACAGUGAGAAGAAGGAGCGUACUAACACUGAGCGCAGUAAAGAGGAAUAGCAUCACCUGAUUUGUUGCACAAAGAAAAUUACCCAACAACCAAGUGUCAGCAAACAAUGAUGUUAGGCUUAGGAUCGACCAAAAGCUGCUGCACAGAUCAGACAGGAUAAUCUAUAGUUCCUGUCAGAUGAUGCACAUACGCAGAGGUCCAACUCACUUUCAACAGAACGUAGCAGCUUGUCUACAUUUUUAAAGGAACUACUCAGCCUUCUGCUGGUCUUGCACAAUGUAGGACUUGGCUGAGGGGUUUGACGUCAGAACCAGUUGCAUUUCCAGGGACGAGUCUACAGUGAGACAAUUGACUGGAAUCAUGUCUGAAUUACAACAACUUGAAGGUUCUACUCAGGGUACCAGAAUCUGCAAAGGAGGAUGAAAGACAGGGACAAUGAGUACAUCAAUGAUCGCAGCACUGACAAGCCAACCACAUGAUGCCAAAGUGUUGUGAUAAUUAUUUGCAUAAUUUGGGGCUCACAUUGACGAAGCACAAAACCCAAUAAAAAUUCUGUAAUCUGCAUUGUUAGUUGCUUCAGUUUAGCUCAUCAAUAACAUGUUCAAUAUCUGCAAGGCCGUCCCCAUCUUGUUUCAGGAAAAGACCUUUAGCAUGCUGCCACCAUUUCAGUCAUAUUCCCUGUCUCCAAUAACAGUACUGUAUGAUACUGUUUCUGUGCAAGAAAGGACCAGACUAUUUUUCCUUCCAGUUUCGCUUUGGUUACGUUGAUUUGAAUUGGAAAAAUUCAAAUGGCCGCAACAUGAUAAUGGUCUACAGGACAUUGGUGCUUAUUGACUAUCAUCUUCAAAGUUUUUAUCAGCUU
This 2054-nucleotide long non-coding RNA is filed under the name Patiria miniata (bat star). Its description in RNAcentral is "uncharacterized LOC119727708". Lineage: Eukaryota; Metazoa; Echinodermata; Asteroidea; Valvatida; Asterinidae. The record is from RNAcentral.